Molecule: non-coding RNA, 427 nt
Organism: Jaculus jaculus (lesser Egyptian jerboa)
Lineage: Eukaryota; Metazoa; Chordata; Mammalia; Rodentia; Dipodidae
Source: the annotation of a RefSeq genome assembly
CCAGCCCUGGAUUCCCAGGUGUUUUCAUUCAGUGAUCAUCACUGAGCACAGACCACUCACCAUGGAGUUGGGGUUCAACUGCUUUUUUCUUUUUAUUCUUUUAAAGGGUGUCCAGUGUGAGGUGCAGCUGGUAGAGUCUGGGGGUAGUUUGGCACAGCCUGGGGGGUCCCUGAGAAUCUCCUGUGCUGCCUCUGGAUUCACCUUCAGUGAUUACUACAUGAGUUGGAUCCGCCAGACUCCAGGGAAACAGCUGGAGUGGCUCUCCUACAUUAGUGGUAACAGUGAUAGUAUAGACUACGCAGCAUCUGUGAAGGGCCGGUUUACCAUUUCCAGAGACAAUUCCAGGAACACCCUGUACCUGCAAAUGAAUAGUCUGAAACUCGAAGACACAGCCAUGUAUUACUGUGCAAGAGACACAAUGAGGUAA